Small nucleolar RNA from Candida albicans SC5314, 93 nucleotides. Lineage: Eukaryota; Fungi; Ascomycota; Pichiomycetes; Serinales; Debaryomycetaceae. The record is from RefSeq and is a predicted model, not a curated record.
CUGUAACUGAUUUAUACAAAUAAACUAAUCCAAUAAUUGAAUGAAUAAUAUUUAUUAGGGGAAUAAUGUACUAACUUACAUUUAAAGUGUAUG